AUGAUGGACUAUAGGACAGGACUGCUGCUUUUAACUAUCUGCUGGGCAGGUGUUGAUGGUCAGACUCUGACAGAAUCUGAACCAGCAGUUAAAAAGCCUGGAGAAUCCCACAAACUGACCUGUACAACAUCUGGAUUGUCAUUCAGCAGCUACUACAUGGCCUGGUUCAGACAGGCUCCUGGAAAAGGACUGGAGUGGGUUGCAACUAUCAGUUAUGAUGGUAGUAGCAAAUACUACUCUCAGUCAGUUCAAGGCCGGUUCACCAUCUCCAGAGACAACAGCAGAGAGCAGCUGUAUCUGCAGAUGAACAGUCUGAAGACUGAAGAUUCUGCUGUUUAUUAUUGUGCUGGAAUGAUGGACUAUAGGACAGGACUGCUGCUUUUAACUAUCUGCUGGGCAGGUGUUGAUGGUCAGACUCUGACAGAAUCUGAACCAGCAGUUAAAAAGCCUGGAGAAUCCCACAAACUGACCUGCACAACAUCUGGAUUGUCAUUCAGUAGCAAGUGGAUGGCCUGGAUCAGACAGGCUCCUGGAAAAGGACUGGAGUGGAUUGCUGAAAUUAGCAGUGGUGGUGGUAGUAGCACAUACUACUCUCAGUCAGUUCAAGGCCGGUUCACCAUCUCCAGAGACAACAGCAGAGAGCAGCUGUAUCUGCAGAUGAACAGUCUGAAGACUGAGGAUUCUGCUGUUUAUUAUUGUGCUCGA
Thunnus maccoyii (southern bluefin tuna) is the source of this 705-nucleotide non-coding RNA. The record is from the annotation of a RefSeq genome assembly. Lineage: Eukaryota; Metazoa; Chordata; Actinopteri; Scombriformes; Scombridae.